This 253-nucleotide ribosomal RNA is filed under the name uncultured prokaryote. RNAcentral describes it as "partial 16S ribosomal RNA". It matches the Rfam family "Bacterial small subunit ribosomal RNA", at positions 525 to 777 of the family's 1533-position model. The record is from RNAcentral.
ACGGAGGGUGCAAGCGUUAUCCGGAUUCACUGGGUUUAAAGGGUGCGUAGGUGGGUAGGUAAGUCAGUGGUGAAAUCUCUGGGCUUAACCCGGAAACUGCCGUUGAUACUAUCUGUCUUGAAUAUAGUGGAGGUGAGCGGAAUAUGUCAUGUAGCGGUGAAAUACUUAGAUAUGACAUAGAACACCAAUUGCGAAGGCAGCUCGCUACGCAUAUAUUGACUCUGAGGCACGAAAGCGUGGGGAUCAAACAGGA